GAUGAACGCUGGCGGCGUGCCUAAUACAUGCAAGUCGAGCGAACAGACGAGGAGCUUGCUCCUCUGACGUUAGCGGCGGACGGGUGAGUAACACGUGGAUAACCUACCUAUAAGACUGGGAUAACUUCGGGAAACCGGAGCUAAUACCGGAUAAUAUAUUGAACCGCAUGGUUCAAUAGUGAAAGACGGUUUUGCUGUCACUUAUAGAUGGAUCCGCGCCGCAUUAGCUAGUUGGUAAGGUAACGGCUUACCUAGGCAACGAUGCGUAGCCGACCUGAGAGGGUGAUCGGCCACCCUGGAACGGAGACACGGUCCAGACUCCUACGGGAGGCAGCAGUAGGGAAUCUUCCGCAAUGGGCGAAAGCCUGACGGAGCAACGCCGCGUGAGUGAUGAAGGUCUUCGGAUCGUAAAACUCUGUUAUUAGGGAAGAACAAAUGUGUAAGUAACUAUGCACGUCUUGACGGUACCUAAUCAGAAAGCCACGGCUAACUACGUG
RNAcentral lists this ribosomal RNA (497 nucleotides) under uncultured bacterium. Its description in RNAcentral is "partial 16S ribosomal RNA". It matches the Rfam family "Bacterial small subunit ribosomal RNA", at positions 28 to 507 of the family's 1533-position model. The record is from RNAcentral.